This 253-nucleotide ribosomal RNA is filed under the name uncultured bacterium. RNAcentral describes it as "partial 16S ribosomal RNA". It matches the Rfam family "Bacterial small subunit ribosomal RNA", at positions 524 to 776 of the family's 1533-position model. The record is from RNAcentral.
UACGAAGGGGGCUAGCGUUGCUCGGAAUUACUGGGCGUAAAGCGCACGUAGGCGGCUUCUUAAGUCGGGGGUGAAAUCCUGGAGCUCAACUCCAGAACUGCCUUCGAUACUGGGAAGCUCGAGUUCGGGAGAGGUGAGUGGAACUGCGAGUAUAGAGGUGAAAUUCGUAGAUAUUCGCAAGAACACCAGUGGCGAAGGCGGCUCACUGGCCCGAUACUGACGCUGAGGUGCGAAAGCGUGGGGAGCAAACAGG